Molecule: long non-coding RNA, 952 nt
Organism: Haliotis rubra (blacklip abalone)
Lineage: Eukaryota; Metazoa; Mollusca; Gastropoda; Lepetellida; Haliotidae
Exons: 2
Source: RefSeq, a predicted model, not a curated record
GAGUUUAACAAAGACCAAUUCUGGUUAUAGAUUAAGAAAGGAUGAUCGACCUUUGUCUUAUACUCGCCUGAGAGAGAUUUUCACAGAGGCGCUUGAACCAUUUGUUUCCAAUAUUAAAGUGUAUGGCUUACAUAGCCUUCGCAGGAAUUUCAAAUAUCGUCUCUCUCGCUCUAGACACGGCAGUGUUCACAUCAUUUAACUUUUAUUUCCUUUAAUUUCAUGUAUAUAUGUAUAUAUCUAUAUUUCAUAUGCAUAAUAUCUCAUAUUUUGUUUUAUUGUUGCAGGUGGUGGUUGUAUUUGACCGUGAUGGUUGUGAAUUAAGCACAGUGUGGUGCUUGUGAGCAUUGUUUGCUGUCUGAUUUAUGUGCACUUGAUGAAUUUUGUAAACAGGUUUAAUUCCUGUUAUCUUCAUGGGUAGUAAACCAAGUUUGGUAUGUAGAGCUGAUUUGCUCAUAUUUUCUACCGUGUAUGGUUAGGUUGCAGAGCCUUUAUAACACUGAUUUGUUGUGACUUUGUUUGAUUAACAUGCCAGGCUGCGAAGCCUUUAUAAUAUCCUGUUAUACAUUGAAUGUAUUAUAAUGGUUAGUAUAUUAUGAGCAGCAAUGUUUUGCAAACUAGGCUGCAGAGCCUUGAGAAUACUGUUAUGACAUUGUUGUCCUGUGGUGAGACAAUGUUUGUUUCAUUUUGCAUCAUGUUGUAAAUACUAUAAACUUCCUAGUAAGAACUUUAGCAUUCGUCGGGAGGGCACAGUUCCAGAGUUUUUUCUCAUGUAUGAGUUGUUAUCUCUGGUUUAUGUGGCGGGCUAGUUCUACUGAACAUGAUGUCGUAUUGCAAGUUGCGUGAUGUACAUAUCUUGUUAUAAGUGCUGAAUUUUGCUGGAAUGUGGUUAUAUGAGGAUUUUGUAAAACGGAAUAAAUCUGCCAUGUGUCGCCGAGCGGCCGUUCCAAUGUUC